Odocoileus virginianus texanus is the source of this 359-nucleotide long non-coding RNA. RefSeq lists it as uncharacterized. The record is from RefSeq and is a predicted model, not a curated record. Lineage: Eukaryota; Metazoa; Chordata; Mammalia; Artiodactyla; Cervidae.
CAGGGAAUGAACCUGAAUCUCUUACAUCUCCUGCAUUGAGGAAAAGCUCCUGUGAUACAAGAAACUCAUCUAUAUGUCAAAAAGUGGAGCUCACAGACCAAUUGGAUUCACCAUUCUGAUCCCCUACAAGGAAAUGUGCGGAGCAGCAGACAGAACGAAAGAGCAGCUUAUGGAACCUAAAGAAACUCGUGGCAAUCAGCGGCCCUGGUGCUUUCCACCUGGAAAUCCUCCCUUUUCAUCCUCGGGUAAGAGAAUGAGGAUGACGAUCGCCUUCCUCUUCGUGGAGAGCGGCGGUCUUUGCACACUCCGAGCUGGGAGGAGGCUGCUGGGCUUCCGGGGAGGGGGCGGUAGCAGGGGUC